Molecule: long non-coding RNA, 435 nt
Organism: Mauremys mutica (yellowpond turtle)
Lineage: Eukaryota; Metazoa; Chordata; Testudines; Geoemydidae
Exons: 4
Source: RefSeq, a predicted model, not a curated record
UACUUAGCACAAGAUCUAAGGAGCAGUGCCGUCUCCAGUGUUUUUGCCACCCCAAGCCUCUUCGGGAGGGACCGAGGGACCCGCCGCCGAAGAGCCGGACGUGCCGCCCCUUUCCAUUGGCCGCCCCAAACACCUGCUUGCUGCACUGGUGCCUGGCGCCGGCCCUGCUAAGGAGGGUUUCACGUUAAGGUCAGACCUGCAGGACAGGAGAAGCCAUUGCUGAUGAAAAGACAUAAAAGUACUGUGAAGAUUAAACUUCAAAGGGUCAUGAUUGCUGUCUCAUUUUCUCCAAGGGAAUUUAGGUGAAGGAAAAACGUUCCCAGAAGAUGUGGAAUAUAUGCUCUGGUAUGACUGCUUCCUGCAGUUCUCUAAUUCUUCCCACCCUAACAAGGGCAAAGGAUAGCAGAGGGACAUGAAGGAAGAAAAGAAGAUACG